UUGUCUCAAAGAUUAAGCCAUGCAUGUCUCAGUACAAGCCGCAUUAAGGUGAAACCGCGAAAGGCUCAUUAAAUCAGUUAUGGUUCCUUAGAUCGUACCCACAUUUACUUGGAUAACUGUGGUAAUUCUAGAGCUAAUACAUGCAAACAGAGUUCCGACCGGAGACGGGAGGAAUGCUUUUAUUAGAUCAAAACCAAUCGGCGGCGGGCGCGCUCGCGCGCCCGUUCGCCGCUCAACUUGGUGACUCUGAAUAACUUUCGGCUGAUCGCACGGUCUCGCACCGGCGACGCAUCUUUCAAAUGUCUGCCUUAUCAACUGUCGAUGGUAGGUUCUGCGCCUACCAUGGUCGUAACGGGUAACGGGGAAUCAGGGUUCGAUUCCGGAGAGGGAGCCUGAGAAACGGCUACCACAUCCAAGGAAGGCAGCAGGCGCGCAAAUUACCCACUCCCGGCACGGGGAGGUAGUGACGAAAAAUAACGAUACGGGACUCAUCCGAGGCCCCGUAAUCGGAAUGAGUACACUUUAAAUCCUUUAACGAGGAUCAAUUGGAGGGCAAGUCUGGUGCCAGCAGCCGCGGUAAUUCCAGCUCCAAUAGCGUAUAUUAAAGUUGUUGCGGUUAAAAAGCUCGUAGUUGAAUCUGUGUCUCGCGCUGUCGGUUCACCGCCCGCGGUGUUAAACUGGCACGCCCGCGAGACGUCCUGCCGGUGGGGCGGCGCGUCGGCCUGCGCCGGCGCCCGUCCCGACUUGGAAUCCUACCGCGGUGCUCUUCACUGAGUGUCGAGGUGGGCCGGCACGUUUACUUUGAACAAAUUAGAGUGCUCAAAGCAGGCUAAAACUUCGCCUGAAUACUGUGUGCAUGGAAUAAUGGAACAGGACCUCGGUUCUAUUUUGUUGGUUUUCGGAACCCCGAGGUAAUGAUUAAUAGGGACAGAUGGGGGCAUUCGUAUUGCGACGUUAGAGGUGAAAUUCUUGGACCGUCGCAAGACGGACAGAAGCGAAAGCAUUUGCCAAAAAUGUUUUCAUUAAUCAAGAACGAAAGUCAGAGGUUCGAAGGCGAUCAGAUACCGCCCUAGUUCUGACCAUAAACGAUGCCAGCUAGCGAUCCGCCGACGUUCCUCCGAUGACUCGGCGGGCAGCUUCCGGGAAACCAAAGCUUUUGGGUUCCGGGGGAAGUAUGGUUGCAAAGCUGAAACUUAAAGGAAUUGACGGAAGGGCACCACCAGGAGUGGAGCCUGCGGCUUAAUUUGACUCAACACGGGAAACCUCACCAGGCCCGGACACCGGAAGGAUUGACAGAUUGAGAGCUCUUUCUUGAUUCGGUGGGUGGUGGUGCAUGGCCGUUCUUAGUUGGUGGAGUGAUUUGUCUGGUUAAUUCCGAUAACGAACGAA
Molecule: ribosomal RNA, 1389 nt
Filed under: Agabetes acuductus
Lineage: Eukaryota; Metazoa; Arthropoda; Insecta; Coleoptera; Dytiscidae
Description: SSU rRNA
Rfam family: Eukaryotic small subunit ribosomal RNA
Source: RNAcentral